This 698-nucleotide long non-coding RNA is filed under the name Heterocephalus glaber (naked mole-rat). RNAcentral describes it as "lncRNA (ENSHGLG00100048726.1)". The record is from RNAcentral. Lineage: Eukaryota; Metazoa; Chordata; Mammalia; Rodentia; Bathyergidae.
GCACCCCACCCGCCCCCUCCCGGAAGCACGCGCCCGCGCCCACGAGCAGCCUGCUUUUCUUCUUAUUGGCAGUGUUUAAUCAACUAAAAUUACAAAAGGUAUUCAGUGACUUCCUGUGGCCACGGCUCCUCACUGCAGUCACCACCCAGCCUACUUCACACCCAUCAGAUCCUGCCAUGAAAAUCCCGAUCUCUCCAGACUCUCACUCCUUGAGGACUCUUCCAGGAGACAAAUGCUGAUUGCACACAUAAACUCCAGCCAAGAUUGCCAUACUUGAGGCUCCUAUAGAUGCAUUGUGCAAGAGAGAAAUCUUAGGAGCAACUAACAUCAUUGCCACAGACCAGCUGCAGUCGAUGUAAGGUAUGAGGCUGACUUGCUGUAAUCUACACUUUCUCAUCAGACUUGGCCACCCAACCCAUAUGAGAUAUGUCCUUUGCAUCUAUGGAGAAGGUUUUUCUCUGUUUUAAAGGGAGGAAUGAAAAGUAUCCAGCGCAUCAUAAUAAACAGAUAGCAAGGACUUCCUUUUCUAAAGAAAUUUGGAAACUUCAAAUCUCCUUUCUUACAGUUUUCAGUGAGACCUCAUUGUGAACUUUUUCUGAUGGAAAGAAGUAUUUUCAAGAACAUCAAGUGCUUUCAAGAAUAAUUAAGAAUUAUUCCAAAGUACAUUCUAAUGGCUAUUUUAGCAAUUUGAAACUUCA